This 548-nucleotide ribosomal RNA is filed under the name uncultured Glomeromycotina. RNAcentral describes it as "SSU rRNA". It matches the Rfam family "Eukaryotic small subunit ribosomal RNA", at positions 548 to 1098 of the family's 1831-position model. The record is from RNAcentral. Lineage: Eukaryota; Fungi; Glomeromycota.
UUGGAGGGCAAGUCUGGUGCCAGCAGCCGCGGUAAUUCCAGCUCCAAUAGCGUAUAUUAAAGUUGCUGCAGUUAAAAAGCUCGUAGUUGAAUUUCGGGACCAUCAUGUCGGUCGUGCCUCGGUACGUACUGGUAUUGUUGGUUUCUCCCUUCUGACGAACCAUGAUGACAUUUAUUUGGUGUUGUGGGGAAUCAGGACUGUUACUUUGAAAAAAUUAGAGUGUUUAAAACAGGCUCACGCUUGAAUACAUUAGCAUGGAAUAAUGAAAUAGGACGUUUGAUUCUAUUUUGUUGGUUUCUAGGAUCGACGUAAUGAUUAAUAGGGAUAGUUGGGGGCAUUAGUAUUCAAUUGUCAGAGGUGAAAUUCUUGGAUUUAUUGAAGACUAACUACUGCGAAAGCAUUUGCCAAGGAUGUUUUCAUUAAUCAAGAACGAAAGUUAGGGGAUCGAAGACGAUCAGAUACCGUCGUAGUCUUAAUCAUAAACUAUGCCGACUAGGGUUCGGAUGAUGUUAAUUUUUUAAUGACUCAUUCGGCGCCUUACGGGAAAC